Molecule: ribosomal RNA, 650 nt
Filed under: uncultured bacterium
Lineage: Bacteria
Description: bacterial SSU rRNA
Rfam family: Bacterial small subunit ribosomal RNA
Source: RNAcentral
GAGUUUGAUCCUGGCUCAGGAUAAACGCUGGCGGCGCACAUAAGACAUGCAAGUCGAACGAACUUAAUUCAUUCUUUUAGAUUGGAAGCGGUUAGUGGCGGACUGGUGAGUAACGCGUGAGCAACCUGCCUAUUAGAGGGGAAUAACAGCGAGAAAUCAUUGCUAAUACCGCAUAUGCUUACACUAUUGCAUGAUAGAGUAAGGAAAGGAGCAAUCCGCUAAUAGAUGGGCUCGCGUCUGAUUAGCUAGUUGGUGGGGUAGAAGCCUACCAAGGCGACGAUCAGUAGCCGGACUGAGAGGUUGAACGGCCACAUUGGGACUGAGAUACGGCCCAGACUCCUACGGGAGGCAGCAGUCGGGAAUAUUGCGCAAUGGAGGGAACUCUGACGCAGUGACGCCGCGUAUAGGAAGAAGGUUUUCGGAUUGUAAACUAUUGUCGUUAGGGAAGAAAAAAGACAGUACCUAAGGAGGAAGCCCCGGCUAACUAUGUGCCAGCAGCCGCGGUAAUACAUAGGGGGCAAGCGUUAUCCGGAAUUAUUGGGUGUAAAGGGUGCGUAGACGGGUGUUUAAGUUGGUUGUGAAAUCCCUCGGCUCAACUGAGGAACUGCAACCAAAACUGGAUAUCUUGAGUGUCGGAGAGGAAAGUGGAA